This 253-nucleotide ribosomal RNA is filed under the name uncultured bacterium. Its description in RNAcentral is "partial 16S ribosomal RNA". It matches the Rfam family "Bacterial small subunit ribosomal RNA", at positions 524 to 776 of the family's 1533-position model. The record is from RNAcentral.
UACGAAGGGGGCUAGCGUUGUUCGGAAUUACUGGGCGUAAAGCGCGCGCAGGCGGUCUUCCAAGUCAGUGGUGAAAGCCCGGAGCUCAACUCCGGAAAUGCCAUUGAAACUGUGAGACUGGAGUACGAGAGAGGUGAGUGGAAUUCCCAGUGUAGAGGUGAAAUUCGUAGAUAUUGGGAAGAACACCAGUGGCGAAGGCGGCCCGCUGGGCAGUGGCUGACGCUGAGGCGCGACAGCGUGGGGAGCAAACAGG